RNAcentral lists this long non-coding RNA (1364 nucleotides) under Homo sapiens (human). RNAcentral's name for it is "HSALNT0300641". Lineage: Eukaryota; Metazoa; Chordata; Mammalia; Primates; Hominidae. The record is from RNAcentral.
CUUCCAUCCAGGAUAGUCCUGGAAAUGAUCUUGAUGCUAUCUGUUCCUCGUUACAGCAGACCUGCUCAACUUCAGCAGCUAGAAGGAGGAUUGUCUUUCACCAGCUGCAGGAGCCUGUUCCCACUACAAGCCUGGUGGAGUCUUCGGAGCAGAUGUGACUGUCCUACUUGUAUAGAGAAGAGAAACUGAGGCUCAGAAGAGAUGCCUGGCUGAGUUUAAUAGGACUGCAACAACAAUUUUGCCUUUCUACUUUCUGUAUGAUGACCGGAGACACAGCUGUUGGAGGAAAAAAGUUUAUGUCAAUUAAAAUCCUGAAUUUCUCUGAUCUGGAAAGAAAAACUGCUAUGAACUCUUUAGACACCAAGACCCAAGAAGGAAAAGCAACUAUCAACUGUUUAUGCCAAGUUGGUCGAUAUCAUGGCUAAACUGGAGCCCAGAUGGAGCACUGACACUUGGUUGAGCUAAAAUGCAAACAACCACAGUUUGGCCUCAGCCCUCCUGAGCUAGUUCCUGUUUUCAAAGCUUCACAGGCUGUUGAAACACAGACAUCCUACCUAAUAAUUUUAACUCUGCAAAAAGUGUCUCCAGUGGAAAAGUGUCCAUAUCCAGUAUUCAUUGGUUCAUUUGUGUAAUAAAUAUUUAUGGAGGACGACAAGUGCCAAGAACUGUGCAUAGAGAAACAAUACAGGCAAGACUCUUCUGUAAGAAGCUCAGAGCUCGUGAAGGACAGAGAUAUGUAAACAGAAAAUCAAAUCAAGUCUUUUAAAUUUUGUGAGAAAGUCUACGUAGGGAACAGAAGGUGCAUAGAAGAGAGUGGUCUGAACUAUCUGAGAUGCCAAGGAAGAUUCCACAGGCUUCUCAACUCAGUUACUUUUCAGACGACACUGAAACUGGGACACUAACUUUUCUGGAAUAGCUGAGGAAAGUUUGCUCUGGAUUUCUGGGUGUGUGAAUCUUCUUUCUUGUCUCUGUUCUGAGAAACAUUAAUGAACAUUUGCAUUGAGUAAGAUCUGGCUGUCUGCCCUAUUUGGCUUAACUGGAAUUUUGAAGCAAAUUCUGAGGGGUGGGUGAGUUUUUCCAAUUCCUUAAUUAAACAACUGGAAGACUUCAUGAGAGUCAUUCAUCUUUGUAUCUUUUCAAAUGACUUUCACUGAAAGGGCCACUAUGUUGCAGUCACCACUUUCCUUUAAAUAAUAUUUCUACUGUGUUCUUGAGCUGUUUAUUUUUAUAGUUCUGUGUAUUUGACCUAAAGCUUUUAACCUUGUGUGUGUGCCCUGAAGUGACUUUAUUGCAAAAGGGUUUGGCUUAUAAAUCUCAAUAAUAAAUAAUAUUCAGUCGUAACACAAGGGGAAGAAAUAUCAGAA